RNAcentral lists this ribosomal RNA (188 nucleotides) under Comamonas thiooxydans. RNAcentral's name for it is "16S rRNA. Bacterial SSU". It matches the Rfam family "Bacterial small subunit ribosomal RNA", at positions 1 to 188 of the family's 1533-position model. The record is from RNAcentral. Lineage: Bacteria; Pseudomonadati; Pseudomonadota; Betaproteobacteria; Burkholderiales; Comamonadaceae.
UCGAACUAUAGAGUUUGAUCCUGGCUCAGAUUGAACGCUGGCGGCAUGCUUUACACAUGCAAGUCGAACGGUAACAGGUCUUCGGAUGCUGACGAGUGGCGAACGGGUGAGUAAUACAUCGGAACGUGCCUAGUAGUGGGGGAUAACUACUCGAAAGAGUAGCUAAUACCGCAUGAGAUCUACGGAUG